UACGGAGGGUGCAAGCGUUAAUCGGAAUUACUGGGCGUAAAGCGCGCGUAGGUGGCUUGAUAAGCCGGUUGUGAAAGCCCCGGGCUCAACCUGGGAACGGCCUCCGGAACUGUCAAGCUAGAGUGCAGGAGAGGAAGGUAGAAUUCCCUGUGUAGCGGUGAAAUGCGUAGAGAUCGGGAGGAAUACCAGUGGCGAAGGCGGCCUUGUGGACUGACACUGACACUGCGGUGCGGAAGCGUGGGUAGCAAACCGG
RNAcentral lists this unclassified non-coding RNA (253 nucleotides) under uncultured Halomonadaceae bacterium. RNAcentral's name for it is "contains 16S-23S intergenic spacer region". It matches the Rfam family "Bacterial small subunit ribosomal RNA", at positions 524 to 776 of the family's 1533-position model. The record is from RNAcentral. Lineage: Bacteria; Pseudomonadati; Pseudomonadota; Gammaproteobacteria; Oceanospirillales; Halomonadaceae.